This 497-nucleotide ribosomal RNA is filed under the name uncultured bacterium. RNAcentral describes it as "partial 16S ribosomal RNA". It matches the Rfam family "Bacterial small subunit ribosomal RNA", at positions 28 to 507 of the family's 1533-position model. The record is from RNAcentral.
GACGAACGCUGGCGGCGUGCCUAAUACAUGCAAGUUGAGCGAUGAAGAUUGGUGCUUGCCCUAAUUUGAAGAGCAGCGAACGGGUGAGUAACGCGUGGGGAAUCUGCCUUUGAGCGGGGGACAACAUUUGGAAACGAAUGCUAAUACCGCAUAAUAACUUUAAACAUAAGUUUUAAGUGUGAAAGAUGCAAUUGCAGCACUCAAAGAUGAUCCCGCGUUGUAUUGGCUAGUUGGUGAGGUAAAGGCAUACCAAGGCGAGGAUACAUAGCCGACCUGAGAGGGUGAUCGGCCACAUUGGAAGUGGGACACGGCCCAAAAUCCUACGGGAGGCCGCAGUAGGGAAUCUUCGGCAAUAGACGAAAGUCUUACCGAGCAACGCCGCGUGAGUGAAGAAGGUUUUCGGAUCGUAAAGCUCUGUUGGUAGAGAAGAACGUUUGUGGGAGUGGAAAGCUCAUCAAGUGACGGUAACUACCCAGAAAGGGACGGCUAACUACGUG